AGGCCCCGUGGACUCAGCCAUCCUGGUCUUGCUGCCCACGUCCGAGGUGGACCUGCAGGCGCAGAGGGGCUGCGUUAGCCGCUCCCCAUACCUGCCGCCGCAGCACCACCCAGAAGUUCCCGCCCGCCUGUCACCUCUGUGGUCACCUCUGGGAGCCGCGGGUGACCUCCUAGCCCCACAAGGGUGCGGUCCUCAGGCCUGGAUUUGCCCCCCAAGUCACAAAGGAGGCCAGCGGGCCCAGACCUGGAGCGGCCGUGGUGGUGGACGGAGCUGGAGUCAUUUUUAGAUAUUCAAGGUAUCGUGCCUGCUAGAUCUCUUGAGGAACAGGAUGACAAGACUUUAAGCCUGAAGGCAUCAGGACAAAAAGCAGCAGCAGAGGGAAUCCAUAAAUAGGGUUCUUUGAACUGAAUGAGGUCUUCUCCCCUGCAGCAUUUUAGCAGACUACAUACUUGUAAAGGCCGACCCAUGAGCUAACAACUAGAUCCUAGAUGAAACAUACCUCUUAAUGCACAGUGGGAAUUGCAAGAUUUAAGAGAAACCUCAAGGACCCUACGCACCACCCAAUCCCUUCCCUCCCCGCAACCCUGCACACACCUCAGGAAACUAAAACCAAACCAUGAGCUGAAACCAGAGAGAGAAGUAGAAGUAUGCAAAUAUGAAAGUACUCUCCAGGUCUGAAUAUCACAGAUGGAGAAGAGAGCUCCAAUAAUAACGAGCUCUUCUUCUGACAAUGUCUCACUGUCCUCGGCUUGGCUCUCACCAAAUGAAAGACCACACUGAGCCGCACAUGUAAGUAUUCUGGCCCAUGUGGUCAGCCAGCUUCUCACUGCAGGUUGCUAAGUUCGAAUCCUUAAUAAAACGUUGUUGGGAGCCUAAUCAGAGUGAGUCAACUUCUCAGGAGCCGAUCCCCGUGAAGUGAAUAGACAAGAUAGAAAUUCUGCACCUGCCGAACUAAGGACAAACGCUUGCGGAUGGUGGUCCCAUACACACAGCCACCCUACCCUCGAGGUUCCGUUCGAAAUAAACCUGUCUCUCCUGCUAAAGCUUAGCCACUGGGAAAGGUUAAGGCUAGACACUGAUAUUCCGAGGGGAGGGAUGAGAAGCAGGAUCAAGGGGAGACAUCUCAGUGAAUUGGAGUAGAGGGGGGAAGUCUGGA
This is a long non-coding RNA of Mustela lutreola (European mink), 1156 nucleotides long. RefSeq lists it as uncharacterized. The record is from RefSeq and is a predicted model, not a curated record. The transcript has 3 exons. Lineage: Eukaryota; Metazoa; Chordata; Mammalia; Carnivora; Mustelidae.